AUGGAGAGGAGAAGAGAAUCGCCUGCGAUGGCGCGGGAGGAGGGUCGGGGGUUGGACUUCCUCGAGAGCCUGGGCCCGGACAUCUCCGCCACCGUCUUCAGCCUGCUCGACGACCCCGCCGACCUCGCGCGCGCCACCGCCGUCUCCCGCUCCUGGCGCCGAUUCGUUAUUGCAAACCAGUUCAGCAAGAUCCUGUGCCUGUGGGUUUACCCGGAGGUUUCCAACUUCACGCGUGUUGAGCUGAGCAGCAUCAGCAGUGCACACCGAAAUGCUGGGUCAAGUGCUUUUGCUGGGCUGGAGAAGCUCGGGAGGGAUCACAGAGUGUAUAUGCAUCUUAGCCAUGAUCUUCUCUCGCCGUAUGACCCCAAGGAUUGCAUCAGUUGCUGCGUAGGUGCGUCCAGCACUGAUCAUUUGCCUGAAGAGGCCAUAGAAAAUACCCUUGAACAUGAUGAGGAGUGGAGACCGUCUUAUUGGUCGAGCGGUGGCCAGAAAGAUCCUGCUGUGCCAGAAUGCCUGAUAUAUAGCCUUCAGUCAGAGCUGUGUCUCGUUGAUGAAAUCAGGAUACGGCCAUUAAAAGCAUUUUUCCGAUAUGGUCAUCCGAUAUAUUCAGCAAAACACGUCCGGUUCCGCCUGGGCUAUCUAAAACCACCCCACUGGUCUGAAACACAUGUAUAUGUUCAAAGUGACGCGGAGCUGACUGAUGAUAGCAACUAUGUCUGGACGUACACAUCUCCGGAAUUUCCAAUGUUGCAGGAAAAUGUGAUGCAGUCUUUUAAGCUACCACACUCAGUUCUAUGUAUUGGUGGAGUGGUAAAGAUUGAGCUUCUUGGGAGGGUCCACAAGGACACGUUUGACGGUCUGUACUACAUAUGUGUGUCUCAUAUCCAAAUAGUGGGGAAGCCACUGUCAGAAGAUUUUGGGGUCGCUCCUAGCAAAAAUGAUGUAGUUCUCAGUUACUAUCUGGAUUAUCGUAGAUUCGGGGGACGAUCACAACAAAGUACUUGGCUUUGCGAUGAGGAUCUGGCACUUCGGUAUGGCUCGAGGGAUAGGAGGACUGAACCAUGA
RNAcentral lists this ribosomal RNA (1065 nucleotides) under Triticum aestivum (bread wheat). Its description in RNAcentral is "partial small subunit ribosomal RNA". The record is from RNAcentral. Lineage: Eukaryota; Viridiplantae; Streptophyta; Magnoliopsida; Poales; Poaceae.